UCCAAGCAAACUCUUCUGUCGGAGUAGACGGCGCGCAUUGAGCAAUCACACUGUGGUGACCAAUAACUCGCCUCUCCAAGGACCAUGUGACCAACCACGUGACAUCGCACCACGGGCGAGAAAAUACCCUCCUGUGUCCUCUCCUCCCAGUGUUGGGGGCACAUGAGACAAACCAUGAGAUCUCUGAUGCUCAUUACCAGCCACAAUGUCACCUCAUCACCCUGUGAGAGGAAAAGGGACUAUUGGUGACGAUCACAUCAGAGUCUGUGAACAAGUCUUCAUAUGGGGGAGAAGGUCAGUUCCAGGGAUCUCUGGGCCACUAUUAAACAAUAUAUGAGAUGUCUCUCAUUAUUUACCUGUGUAUAAGGAGCACCUACGUGUAACACAACCAUGUUCUACCUGUUGGUCCACUGACAUGAUGGGGCCACGCUCGCUGGGACAGAUAAUAAGGUUUCCCCUACAGCUGCAAAACAUGGCUGAUAAUAAAUAUGAUAUAAUUGUAUUAUUACAGUAUAAAUAUGGGCACACAAUAUCACUGUAAAUAAUGCAACGUUAAAUACAAUAAAGUGUUAACAUAA
This is a long non-coding RNA of Xenopus laevis (African clawed frog), 578 nucleotides long. RefSeq lists it as uncharacterized. The record is from RefSeq and is a predicted model, not a curated record. Lineage: Eukaryota; Metazoa; Chordata; Amphibia; Anura; Pipidae. The transcript has 2 exons.